GCCUGCACACAGCCCUAACCUAACACCUACCUGAUCUUUUGUUGAAAAGUCGAGGUGACGCAGAAUGUUGUGCAGUCCCAUAUUGACUGUAUCCUCAGCUGUCCUGUUUGCCUCGUAAGCAAACUUCAGGGGGUCCAGUAGCGGCUUUGUGAUGUCCUUCAUGUGGCUCAACACCAGUCUUUCAAAUGACUUCAUGACCACAAACAUCAGGGCGGCAGGCCUGUAGUCAUUUAAUUAUGUAAUGGUGGACUUCUUUGGGAGAGAAAUGAUAAUGGAGCAUUUAAAUCAGCAGAGGAACUUCACACAGCUUCAGAGAUCUGUUAAAGAUUCGGGUGAAGAUGGGCACCAGUUGGUCGGCACAGACUUUCAGGCACAAGGGGGACACACCAUCAGGUCCUGGAAACUUCCUGGUCUUCUGUCUCUGGAAAAGCAGACACACAUCCACCUCACAGAUCUUUAAGCACUUUUUGUAUUAGUACCUAAUACUCGGAUCGACUCACCACGGAUUGCUGCAACUUGACUUGGAGCAACAGGUUUUCCAUUACAAACAAGUACCACCUAGUGUGUGGUCGUCAUAGCAAUGCCGCAGAGCAUCCUGUGACAUGAUUAGUAUGUGACAUGAACGCUACAACAAAGGUGGACGUAGAGGAAAGAAUAUACCUGCUGCUCAAACUGUGUUUUGUGUUUUUGGUUUAAGUUUUAUUCUGGGAAUUGUGGUUUUCUGUCUUGUAUUUCCUGUUUUACUUUAGAGAGUCCCAUGUCUGGUGUUCAGGGUUUUGGGUUUUGCUUUCCCGUUGUCUUGUCUAAUUAGGUUCAGCUGUGUCUCCCUCCUGUGUGCCAUUUCCUUUUUACUUUGGGUGCAUAUCUAGUGCGUGGUUACCUCUGUUCUUCAUCUGAGCUUCUGCGUAUCAUUCUGUGUAUCAUGGUUCUUGGUCAUCCUGUUCAUCUUCCCCAGUGUCUCUCCAGCUACGUUUCCAUGUUGCAGGUUGUUUAGUUUUAUGUUUCUAGUUUCAUGUUUAGCUGACCCCAGUUUGGGUUUUUG
Long non-coding RNA from Oreochromis aureus, 1042 nucleotides. The record is from Ensembl. NCBI's taxonomy places the organism in Eukaryota, Metazoa, Chordata, Actinopteri, Cichliformes, Cichlidae.